Molecule: ribosomal RNA, 250 nt
Filed under: uncultured bacterium
Lineage: Bacteria
Description: partial 16S ribosomal RNA
Rfam family: Bacterial small subunit ribosomal RNA
Source: RNAcentral
GACGAACGCUGGCGGCGUGCCUAAUACAUGCAAGUAGAACGCUGAAGGAGGAGCUUGCUUCUCUGGAUGAGUUGCGAACGGGUGAGUAACGCGUAGGUAACCUGCCUGGUAGCGGGGGAUAACUAUUGGAAACGAUAGCUAAUACCGCAUAAGAGUAGAUGUUGCAUGACAUUUGCUUAAAAGGUGCAAUUGCAUCACUACCAGAUGGACCUGCGUUGUAUUAGCUAGUUGGUGGGGUAACGGCUCACCA